RNAcentral lists this small nucleolar RNA (107 nucleotides) under Gossypium hirsutum (cotton). RNAcentral describes it as "Plant small nucleolar RNA R71". It matches the Rfam family "Plant small nucleolar RNA R71". Rfam says of the family: R71 is a member of the C/D box family of snoRNAs containing the C (UGAUGA) and D (CUGA) box motifs. Lineage: Eukaryota; Viridiplantae; Streptophyta; Magnoliopsida; Malvales; Malvaceae. The record is from Rfam by way of RNAcentral.
AUCCCAUGAUGUGGACACUUACGAAGCAAUUCUCUGAAACUUUCUCACACCUUAUAUAAAGACUCGUCAUCCAAUUGUUGGAAAAUAGUUAUCUCAUUUAGCAACUU